Brassica napus (rape) is the source of this 2269-nucleotide RNA transcript. It is a transcript of the gene named protein TIC 62, chloroplastic, with no coding region annotated. The transcript is spliced from 16 exons. The record is from RefSeq and is a predicted model, not a curated record. Lineage: Eukaryota; Viridiplantae; Streptophyta; Magnoliopsida; Brassicales; Brassicaceae.
CUCUGUCCAUCCACAAGAUAAAAUUCAAUUAGAACAAAUUUCGAUUAACGUACAAGAAACAAGACUAACUCAGCUUCUUCUCUAGCAAUGGAAGGAACUAGUUUUCUCCGAGGGCAACCUCUAACAACAGUACCCUCCCUUCCCAGACAAAGGUUCCUUCUCCAAGGAUGGAAGAACAAUCGGAUUGUCAGGUUUUCUGGUUUGACGAAUCACUCCGAUUCUAUAAAGUCCAGGUCUUUCUUCGAUCUUAGCCUCAGAGCUUCAGACAAAGCUCCCAUAAAGGCAAGCUCUGCCGUAACAGAGGCAAACCCUACGAACUUAGUUUCAAAGGAACACGACCUUGUCUUUGUAGCUGGUGCUACGGGUAAAGUUGGUUCUAGAACUGUGAGAGAGUUACUGAAGCUCGGAUUUCGAGUUAAAGCUGGAGUUCGAAGCGCUCAGAGAGCAUCAAGUCUUGUGCAAAGUGUUAAGGAUAUGAACACAGAUGAAGGAACUCAACCUGUAGAAAAGCUUGAGAUUGUUGAAUGUGACUUGGAGAAGAAAGACUCAAUACAGCCUGCAUUGGGGAAUGCAUCUGUGGUUAUAUGCUGUAUAGGUGCUAGCGAGAAAGAAAUAUCCGAUAUCACCGGUCCUUACAGGAUUGAUUACUUGGCCACCAAAAACCUUGUUGAUGCUGCAACAUAUGCAAAAGUUAAUAACUUCAUGUUGGUGACAUCCUUGGGGACAAACAAAUUUGGAUUUCCCGCUGCCAUUCUCAAUCUAUUCUGGGGAGUUCUUUGCUGGAAGAGAAAAGCUGAAGAAGCCUUGAUUGCAAGUGGUCUCAACUACGCAAUAGUUAGGCCUGGAGGAAUGGAGAGACCAACUGAUGCAUACAAGGAGACUCAUAAUCUCACUCUUGCUCUAGAUGAUACAUUGUUUGGUGGUCAGGUCUCAAAUCUCCAGGUUGCAGAAUUGCUAGCUUGUAUGGCUAAGAACCCUCAACUUUCUUGCUCUAAGAUUGUGGAAGUGGUUGCUGAAACAACUGCACCAUUAACCCCUAUUGAAAAGCUUCUUGAAAAGAUUCCUUCCAAACGUCCUUAUGUGCCUCCACCAAAGGAAUCAGUUCCAGCCAAAGAGGUAACACCAGUUCCUGCUGAGCCUGUCAAGCAAGAAUCAGUUGCAGCCAAAGAGGUAACACCAGUCCUUACUGAGCCUGUCACUAAAGAACCAACAGCUCCCAAGGAGGAUAAAGCACCUGCAGAAGUGAAAGAUGUUAAGCCUAGGCCGCUGUCUCCUUAUGCCGCCUAUGAAGACUUGAAACCUCCAACAUCUCCUAUUCCGGCCACAGCACUUGGUGCCACCAAAGCUAAGGAGGUGGAUGCAACUCAGGUUCCGGAGGUGGAAGAAACUCAGGUUCCUGUUGAGGCUAAUGCAGUUCCACCACCAGAAAGUCUUGUUGAGACCAGUGUCCCAGUAGUAGAAGUGAAGCAAGUUGAGGAAAAGAAAGAGAGGCCUCUUUCUCCUUAUGCUAGCUAUGAGAAUCUAAAACCACCUUCAUCUCCCACUCCUAAAGCUUCUGGUAUCCAGAAGAGCGAUACUUUGGCGCCUGUUCCAACAGAUUCUGAUACUGGUGAAAGCUCAACAGUUGCAACAACUGUCACUGAGGAGGCAGAAGCACCACCAGCCAUACCAAAAAUGAGACCUCUUUCUCCUUAUGCAGCUUACGCAGACCUGAAACCACCAACCUCACCGACUCCUGCAUCAACUGGUCCCAAGAAAACAGCACCUGCAGAAGAAAUCUCAGAGGUACCUGGAGGCAAUGACGUGGUGGAAACAGUUGAUGGUAGUGUGAACACGACUGAAUCUGCUUCUGUGCCAGAGGCGGAAACCAUUAACAGUGUGACAGACACUUCCCUUACCCCAGAAGAAAGUGCAGCUGAUCAACCAAAGCCAAGGCCAUUGUCACCUUACACAAUGUAUGAGGACAUGAAGCCUCCAACAUCACCUCUUCCAUCUCCGGUCAUCAAUCAUUAGUUAUGUGUGAAAUGAUUUGCCCUUGAACCCUUGGAGCUUCUUCUUCUUUUUAGCUUCAGCUUCUUCUUUUUUUACAAAUGAGAGAAAGAUGGGGAAAUUCAGUUUUACAGGAUGCGGUAUUCUUCUUAGUCAUUUUUAUUUGGUCUAAACAUGCGAAUUCAUCGUCGAUUAAAUUUAAGAUAUGUAUUGUUUUCUUUUAAUUCAAUUGUAAUUUGAAAAAUUCAAUAAUAAAAAAAAUUAUUUUUAUCCGAAGACA